AACGGAAAGAGGGAAAAAGAGGCCAAAAAGGAAGUAGCUGCACAUCUCCCCAGUUCUUCUGUGUGUUGCAUUCUCCCUUCCUCUUUUUCUCUCAGUGCUUUGGAAUAGAAAAAGCGAGAAGGAAUUCUUG
Molecule: non-coding RNA, 130 nt
Filed under: Chromera velia
Lineage: Eukaryota; Chromeraceae
Source: RNAcentral